CCCUUAGAUGUUCUGGGCCGCACGCGCGCUACACUGAUGCAUUCAACGAGCCUAUCCUUGACCGACAGGUCCGGGUAAUCUUUGAAUCUGCAUCGUGACGGGGGUAGAUUAUUGCAAUUAUUAAUCUUCAACGAGGAAUGCCUAGUAGGCGCAAGUCAUCAGCUUGCGUCGAUUACGUCCCUGCCCUUUGUACACACCGCCCGUCGCUCCUACCGAUUGGGUGUGCUGGUGAAAUGUUCGGAUCGGCCGUUUGUCGCGGUUUCCGCGGCUCGUGGCUGAGAAGUUCAUUAAACCCUCCCACCGAGAGGAAGGAGAAGUCGUAACA
This 325-nucleotide ribosomal RNA is filed under the name uncultured eukaryote. RNAcentral's name for it is "partial 18S ribosomal RNA". It matches the Rfam family "Eukaryotic small subunit ribosomal RNA", at positions 1470 to 1796 of the family's 1831-position model. The record is from RNAcentral.